AUGGUGACUGCUGAGCCCCGGUAAGUACCUUAUUAUGUUAAAUUAAGGUGACAAACGUUUCUUAAAUCAAAACAAAACCUAGCGUAUCAUAUGCGCGUUAAUUUUCUUCAAAUGACAAUACAAAGUGCAUUAUCCUACGUUUUGUGGUUUUUGAGAACAUUGUUUGAAUUGUGUGAAAAUUGCACAUUCAGCGAUAGUAAUUCGCACGAAGCGAUAUAACUUGGUACCAAAAUAAAUGAAAAUAAGCCUUCUUUUUGCACUUAAGACACCAAAUCAAUCAUUUUAUUGACAUCUGUUCUUGUAGAAUUCCAUAUAAAAUUUUGUUCGAAGGUCUGUAGCCUACAAAUGUUCUUUGCAAGUGUUUAGUAAGUAAAACGAACAAUUUCUGGAUAGUAAGUUGCACGAAAACAAAAUAGUAAGUUUCACGCACAGUUUCCAAUAGCUUACUAAAAUGUGACGAAACUAUUUUAUAAUUCUUUUGGUUUCAAAUUUGCAAGUGUAUUCCGUCUACGGUAACAGAGAAACAAAUAUCGAGAGAGUAUUUUAAUAAUAAUUCAUAUUAUUUCAUAAUACAUGUAUUCAUAUAAUUUCAUAAAAUAUUACUUAACUUAAAAAAAACUAAAUGAGACAUAUUGACAUUAAUACUCAACAAUGUACGUUACACUUGGCCCUUUUUCACGUUAGACUGGACCCACAUCCGUCAUCUUUAGAACUAAAGAAAUAACUGUGCAGAAGGAAAUAUUACAACACCAUCAUUUACUUUUCAGUAUUUGCAAUUUGGACCAAAAACGCAAAGGAGAAGACAUUCGCCAUAUCACAUUGAUAUUUAAUGCCAUCAUAGAACUGUAAAAUAAGGGCCAAGACACACCUGAAACUGCAAAGGUCAAAGAACUACUAUCGCAACAGAAAAAUAACACUGAGCCGUGUAAUAUCAAAUCCCAUCAAAAGUUCAUUUGAUAUAUUAUAAUAACAACCAAUUAAGCAUUCGUCCUAUAGACAAAAAGUGAAAUAUUUGAACUUGAAUAAUUGAAAUAAGUAUUUUCUAUCGCUUUACAUAUGAACUUUAACUUUCUUUUAAUGUAUAUGUAUGCUAAUGGAAACUGUGCGUGAAACUUACUAUUUUGUUUUCGUGCGACUUACUAUCCAGAAAUUGUUCGUUUUACUUACUAUACACUUGCAAAGAACAUUUGUAAGCUACAGACCUUCGAAAAUAUAUUUUAUAUGGACUUCUACAAGAACAGAUGUCAAUAAAAUGAUUGAUUUUGUGUCUUAAGUGCAGAAA
Ruditapes philippinarum (Manila clam) is the source of this 1282-nucleotide long non-coding RNA. RefSeq lists it as uncharacterized. The record is from RefSeq and is a predicted model, not a curated record. NCBI's taxonomy places the organism in Eukaryota, Metazoa, Mollusca, Bivalvia, Venerida, Veneridae. The transcript is spliced from 2 exons.